UAAGCCUGUGGGUCAGGAGUGCUG
Molecule: non-coding RNA, 24 nt
Filed under: Rattus norvegicus (Norway rat)
Lineage: Eukaryota; Metazoa; Chordata; Mammalia; Rodentia; Muridae
Source: RNAcentral